This 253-nucleotide ribosomal RNA is filed under the name uncultured bacterium. RNAcentral's name for it is "partial 16S ribosomal RNA". It matches the Rfam family "Bacterial small subunit ribosomal RNA", at positions 524 to 776 of the family's 1533-position model. The record is from RNAcentral.
UACAGAGGCCUCGAGCGUUAGGCGGAAUCACUGGGCUUAAAGCGUGUGUAGGCGGACUUCUAAGUACCUUGUGAAAUCCCCCGGCUCAACCGGGGAAUGGCUGGGCAUACUGGCGAUCUUGAGCAGUCUAGGGGCAGAUGGAACAAGUGGUGGAGCGGUGAAAUGCGUAGAUAUCACUUGGAACGCCAAAGGUGAAAACAGUCUGCUGGGGACUUGCUGACGCUGAGACACGAAAGCCAGGGGAGCGAACGGG